Molecule: long non-coding RNA, 677 nt
Filed under: Monodelphis domestica (gray short-tailed opossum)
Lineage: Eukaryota; Metazoa; Chordata; Mammalia; Didelphimorphia; Didelphidae
Description: lncRNA (ENSMODG00000049822.1)
Source: RNAcentral
GAGGAAUAAUCUCACUUCUCCUCAAGGCUCUUCUGAUCAAUCAGGAUACAUAGAUGGGAUAGGGAUGCCUAGAGGAGUCCCAGAGGAGUUUAAAGCUAGGAACCAGACAGCAACCACAUUUGAAUCCUUCUAUUGGUGGAUCAUCAUAAACAAGAAAGUAGACUGAAUCAAUUAUAUUUAUUAUAACCAACAGAGGAUAAAUUACACCCAAGACAAGGGCUUGUCUCAACAAUUAAAUGCUACCAGUUGAAUGUCAUGGAGAAACAGAUUACUUUUAAACAGGAUGUUUACUAAAGAGGGCAAUGUCUGUGGCAUGUUAGGGGGGAGAUGUUGCACCUACAUUCCUAAUAGCACUGCAUCAGAUGAGUAAGUAACCAAAACUGUCCAGGGACUAAUUACCCUUCAGAAGAAUUAACCAGAAAUUCAGGAAUAGAUAUUGGCUCCUGGACCAGCUGAUUUGAUUCAGUUUUCUCAGGACCCUAGACAAGGUUUAUAUCAAUGAUAUUUGGGAGUAAAUGAGGAAUACUUUGAUUUGGAAAAAGAAGCUGAAGCAAUCAUCCAACAAUAGAAGGAGAAAUCACAGUAAAUAUUUAGGCAGAUACUCCCAAUAUCCUCCAGGUGAAAGCUGUGAAAGCUCCAGUUUAACACCUCAAUUAGCUCAAUUAGGAAAAGGAUGA